Molecule: ribosomal RNA, 330 nt
Filed under: uncultured bacterium
Lineage: Bacteria
Description: bacterial SSU rRNA
Rfam family: Bacterial small subunit ribosomal RNA
Source: RNAcentral
UCCGUAGGCGGUGCGGCAAGUCGGAAGUGAAAUCUCAGGGCUUAACCCUGAGGCUGCUUCCGAAACUGCCGUGCUCGAGUGCGAGAGAGGCGAGUGGAAUUGCAGGUGUAGCGGUGAAAUGCGUAGAUAUCUGCAGGAACAUCCGAGGCGAAAGCGGCUCGCUGGAUCGCAACUGACGCUGAGGGACGAAAGCUAGGGGAGCAAACAGGGUUAGAUACCCUGGUAGUCCUAGCCCUAAACGAUCAGGACUGGGCGUGGGCCUCGUACGGGGCUCGUGCCGCAGCUAACGCGUUAAGUCCUGCGCCUGGGGAGUACGGUCGCAAGGCUGAA